RNAcentral lists this long non-coding RNA (446 nucleotides) under Carica papaya (papaya). RNAcentral describes it as "long non-coding RNA (CPAP_LNC002263)". The record is from RNAcentral. Lineage: Eukaryota; Viridiplantae; Streptophyta; Magnoliopsida; Brassicales; Caricaceae.
UGGGCGCCAAAAUCAUAAACCUCAAUACCCCAUUCGGUAUGAGAGUGAAACGGGUCGUCCCCAUACCCUAUCCGGUAUGGGCGCCAAAACACAUAAAGUCUCCAUACCCUGUCCGGUAUGAGAGACCACGUUCUCAGUAGGGUUCCCUAUGGACCCGGUCCGUCCACUAUCUCCUAGGAUAUCUAGUGAGGCUAUAGACAUUAUCCAUUAUCAAUUCACAUACAUUUUUACCAUUUUUCUUAAUCUCAAUUAUCCAUUCAAAAACAAACAUGUAAACCAGUAAUGAACACCAAAUAAGGCAACAUAACAUCGGGUUCACAAUAAUUCAAAGCAUAAUAAAUGAAACCGUGAUUCAUGCAUACGAAACCAUAGAAUAAACACAUCAGGCACCAUACUGCAUUCAAAACUGUAAAAUAAAUCAAACAACACUUGACCAAAAAUAUAUC